GUGAAGGAAUCGACGAAGAAGCUUCCGUUCAGCAUGGUAUCUCAGUGGAAGAAUAUCCGAAGCAAACCUCCGCUACUUCUCUGUUCCCUUUCAUUUUUCAUGGAAAAUUUGAACAGACCUCGUCCACGCCGAUAGUUUCCAGUUUCAUGUGGCAAUGACAUGUGGAGGACGACGGUCACGAGCGCAUUGUCGCAAGCUCACGGGAGGGAGGCACACAUCUCAUCCAAUGGAAAAGCACGCUCCAAAAAAUCCCUAACCCUCCAUGGAGCCAUUGCUAGGGGACGACGAGAUCAACGCCACCCAUCACGACCACCAAGAUGUAGAAG
This 326-nucleotide ribosomal RNA is filed under the name Triticum aestivum (bread wheat). RNAcentral's name for it is "partial small subunit ribosomal RNA". Lineage: Eukaryota; Viridiplantae; Streptophyta; Magnoliopsida; Poales; Poaceae. The record is from RNAcentral.